CCCUACGGGGUGCAGCAGUCGCGAAACCUUCGCAAUGCGCGCAAGCGUGACGAGGGGACCCCAAGUGCGCAUGUACAACAUGUGCUUUUAACAAGCCUAAAAAGCUUGAGGAAUAAGAGCUGGGUAAGACUGGUGCCAGCCUCCGCGGUAACACCAGCAGCUCAAGUGGUGAUCGCGUUUAUUGGGUUUAAAGCGUGCGUAGUCGGUUCGACAAGUUUUCUGUGAAAUCCUGGCGCUCAACGUCGGGGAUUGCAGAAAAUACUAUCGGGCUCGAGACCGGGUUAGGAGUGAGGUAUUCUGGGGGUAGCGGUGAAAUGCUAUAAUCCCUGGAAGACCACCAGUAGCGAAAGCGUCACUCUGGAACGGGUCUGACGAUGAGGUACGAGAGCUAGGGGAGCGAACAGGAUUAGAUACCCUGGUAGUCCUAGCUGUAGACGAUGUGGGUUUAGUGUUCCUCAAAUCUCGUGUUCGAGGAGUGCUGAAGGGAAACCGUUAAACCCACCACCUGGGGAGUACGGUCGCAAGGCUGAAACUUAAAGGAAUUGGCGGGGGAGCAC
RNAcentral lists this ribosomal RNA (557 nucleotides) under uncultured archaeon. RNAcentral's name for it is "bacterial SSU rRNA". It matches the Rfam family "Archaeal small subunit ribosomal RNA", at positions 321 to 879 of the family's 1478-position model. The record is from RNAcentral.